RNAcentral lists this transfer RNA (90 nucleotides) under Candidatus Magnetococcus massalia. Its description in RNAcentral is "magneto-ovoid bacterium MO-1 tRNA-Ser". It matches the Rfam family "tRNA". Rfam says of the family: Transfer RNA (tRNA) molecules are approximately 80 nucleotides in length. Their secondary structure includes four short double-helical elements and three loops (D, anti-codon, and T loops). Further hydrogen bonds mediate the characteristic L-shaped molecular structure. tRNAs have two regions of fundamental functional importance: the anti-codon, which is responsible for specific mRNA codon recognition, and the 3' end, to which the tRNAs corresponding amino acid is attached (by aminoacyl-tRNA synthetases). tRNAs cope with the degeneracy of the genetic code in two manners: having more than one tRNA (with a specific anti-codon) for a particular amino acid; and 'wobble' base-pairing, i.e. permitting non-standard base-pairing at the 3rd anti-codon position. The record is from RNAcentral. Lineage: Bacteria; Pseudomonadati; Pseudomonadota; Magnetococcia; Magnetococcales; Magnetococcaceae.
GGAAGGGUGUCAGAGCGGUUGAAUGAUCUGGUCUUGAAAACCAGCGUACUCUUACGGGUACCGUGGGUUCGAAUCCCACCCCUUCCGCCA